GAAUGGCACCACGAAGGUUCUACUGUCUCCCUUUUUUAAUCAGUGAAACUAAUCUUCCCGUGAAGAAGCGGGAAUAAACUUAUAAGACGAGAAGACCCUAUGGAGCUUUAAACUAUUUAUCAAUUGCCCAUCCAUUACCACUAUUUCAGAACCAUAUCUUUUAUUAUAGCUUUUUGAUAAUAAGUUUUGGUUGGGGUGACCGCGGAGUAAAAAAUAACCUCCAUAUUGAAAGGAAACCUUUCCUGAGCAAAAAACUACAAUUUUAUGCACCAAUAUACUGACAUUAAUUGACCCAAUAAUUUGACCAACGAACCAAGUUACCCUAGGGAUAACAGCGCAAUCUACUUCAAGAGCUCCUAUCGACAAGUAG
Molecule: ribosomal RNA, 370 nt
Filed under: Sphaenorhynchus surdus
Lineage: Eukaryota; Metazoa; Chordata; Amphibia; Anura; Hylidae
Description: partial 16S ribosomal RNA
Rfam family: Bacterial large subunit ribosomal RNA
Source: RNAcentral